CCCUGGGUUCCCGCAGGCGGCGGCGGCAGUGAGCCCCGUGGCCGGCUCGCGCCCACCCGCCCCGCACUACCCCGCCCGACCCCGGGCGCCGGGCUCCUUCCGAGGGACGCGCGCCUAGCGCCCCGAGCCCCGCGCCCGCCCGCUCGCUCGCGCCCGAGCCCCCCAGGACGACGCCGCGAACGCGCCCCGCAGCCGCGGCCCCGCGGCGGACGUCCCCGAUAGUCCAGAUGCAUGGUGAAAUAGAACUUCAGAUUGGUGUGAGUUUUAUGGUAAAACAUUGGAACACAAUGAAAGAUUCCUGGAGAUUUAUGAUGAGGUCCUCCUCCUCUCUGCCUCUCAGAGCGUUCUAGGAUAGGAAAAGCGCCUGUAAUAUUUCCAGUAACGCCUUUACCUGGUGAACACAGAGGAGGCAAAACCAGGACUCGGCGGUAGAGCACCAGGAGGACCAGGGAAGUGGAAGGCAAGAAGCGCGACCCCAAACUCUCAGCUAGAAGCCCAGAAACCUCAUGGAUGUCGGAGGGUUGUUUGAUCUAAAGUGUGCUUAAAUUUUGCUUAGAGGAAUAAAUCUUUAUAAAGGC
This is a long non-coding RNA of Cavia porcellus (domestic guinea pig), 578 nucleotides long. RefSeq lists it as uncharacterized. The record is from RefSeq and is a predicted model, not a curated record. The transcript has 3 exons. NCBI's taxonomy places the organism in Eukaryota, Metazoa, Chordata, Mammalia, Rodentia, Caviidae.